RNAcentral lists this long non-coding RNA (7078 nucleotides) under Zea mays. RNAcentral describes it as "long non-coding RNA (ZMAY_LNC002038)". The record is from RNAcentral. Lineage: Eukaryota; Viridiplantae; Streptophyta; Magnoliopsida; Poales; Poaceae.
CAGUAGUUCUAGGGAUUUCUGGGAAUUUUUCGUGGGCAAUUAGUGGGGAUCAGUGGGAGAAUCAUGUAUAGCUUUGUCAUACCUUUCCAACGAGUACUUAUGCGCUCGAUUCGGAGUUAUAAUUUAGGAGAUAUCGUUGUUUAAAUCCGGUUAUGUUGCUGUCCAAAAAAACAGAUUUUUCAGGUGGGUGAACAGCAGUAGUAUUAGCAGUUUCUGGGAAAUUUUCGUGGGUAAUUAGUGUUAACCAGUAUUAUAAUCAUGUAGGGCUUUGUCUUAUCUUUCCAAUGAGUACUUAUGCGCUUGAUUUGGAAUUAUAUUUUAAAAGAUAUCGCUGUUUGAAUCCGGGUAUGUCGCUGUCCAAAAGACAAAAAAAAAACAGAUUACAGGGUUCAUCUUAUGGACUGUUUUGGGCUAAUUAGAUGUUGGAAUUUAAUUAUAAAUUGUAUACAAAACUUGUGGGGAAUUUUAUGUAGAUGACUCUGGAGUUUUUGUUUGUUACCACUGCCGUCAUAAUUUUAAAGUUAUGAAAUUAUUAAGCAGCGCCGCUGCAGUUUGGUGGGUGUGGGGAGAUAUGUAAUCCGCGGCGGGGUUUGAGUUUGUGCGUAGUUGCGGCGUCGUUUAUGAGCCUGAUUAUGUGAAAUUGGUGCACUAAGUUGUGUGUCAAAAAACAGGUGGUGGACUUCCGGAUCGUACUUAGGGAUUUGCCCGAACUUCCGGUAAAGGCAAGUAAAUAUAGUGGUGGUUGCUACCGUUUUGGUUUGCAUCCUAUUCCCUGUCAUUGAGUAUGCAUAAGUUUUAAUUAUGUUAAUCAUUGGAUUCUAUGAUGAAGUUUAUUUGUUUGGAAGUAUUAAUUCUCAAUUGUCUAAUAUGGUGGAUGAUCAUAAUUUGGUUAUGAUAUAUGUGGUUGAUUCCCAUCUUGGAUGAAGUUGAAGUAUUUUUUGAAUCACGUUAUAUGAAGUGUUGUAGGCAUGACAUGCACAUCGCAUCAUCCAUCUUGCAUUUUGAAGUUAUGUCGUGAUCUUAUGGUCCGACCGUACCGGUACAUUUUUAGCAUCGUACGUUGCCCGAGGAGGGGUACGAUGCGGCUUCAUAUCCUUAGAGGUAUGAAGGCAGAAGUCAUCCUUGCAUUUGCAGACAUUUGCACUCAUGAGGUAUAUAUGAAGUGUGACAUUACUAUGUUACUAUUGUGGUUUCUACCUGCGAGGUGUGGUGACUACGUGUGUUGUACGUUGUAUACGUGUUGCACCGUCGUAAUAAGAAAAUUGUGGAAUCAAGUGGUGGUAAAACAAUGUUCUUAUGUGGUUAAACAGUUUGAUAUUAUUUUACUUGCUGAGAUGUGUCAUCUCACUCUUGCAUUACUCAAUGCAUACAUGUUGGGAAUGAGGGGAGUAGCAGCACGUCCACUUUCACUCUCACAAUAACGUUGCCCAGGCAUAGCCAUGAUUUAAUUAGAAACUUAUUGUCAAAGGAAGUUUGUUUCUUUUAACUAGUCGUGCGCACUAGUUAAUUCAGUUCAUGUCGUAUGUUUAACUUCUCUUUGCUAGCCGAUUAAUAAUACUUAGUAUGUUUUUGUCAUGAUAUGUGUUUAUACACUGUUGCCCCCCUCAUUUAUGCAAUUUUGCAAAGGGGGUGCUGCCGAAAUUUUAUAUAUAGAUGUCAGAAGUGUUAUUCAGUAGCAUUCCGGGGUGUUACAGUUGGUAUCAGAGGAUAGGCUUUAGAUUCUACGCAAUUUGAAGAUAAAUUUAACACACUUGCACAUAUAGGAAGGGUAUGAGUUCGUAUAUCUUUCAUAUUAGUAUUUUAUUGUAUAGAUGACUAGAAUUCCCUUACUCCAAAUCCCUUUAUGGUUUGAUGGGGUAUGUCGUUAACGACUUAAUGUUUGAUAUGAUAUGUUACUUCUAAUUAAUAUUGGUUUCUUGAUGUGGUUGUUAUUGAAGUUAUUAUGCAAGUGAAGCUACUAAUGUACUUGUUUUGUAUACAUAUCGUCAUGAUGUUUUUUAUGCGAUGUUUUUCAAAUCUUUGAGCUAUUACUAUCAUAUAUUUCUAUAUGCUUGAUUGUGGUUGUUUUUUUAAAUGGAAUUUUUGGGGUUCUAGUACUUGUAGGACCGAUUGUUUAUUGAGUCUGUGUAUAGUGGGUCUAAUCCGGCUUGGUGUGGUGUGAAAACACUAUAUAAUGUAGUUUUAUCAUGUUGUUGGGUCUGAUUGAAUGUUGGGCUACAACCCAACUUAUCAAUGUAAUAUUUCCAUGGAGGCAAUGCUUUGCGCCUCACUUUUUUUAGGCUAGUGUGGCUACUUGCUAACUUGAUCUUAGUAUAAAAUUGGUUUGUCUCUCUAGAGCAGAGGCAACGUUGUAAUGUCUAUGAAAUCUUUAGACUGGUAGAACUCGAGUGAAUUUGUGAGAUGACGUAGAUUGAUAAGUCCAACCAUGUCUACCUGAUAGGUUUUCUUAUUAUGGGCAACCUUAUUUUUAACAAUAAAUAGGGUGGUUUCAAGUGGAUUUUAUGUCGUGCAUGUUUUCCUUCUAUGGCUUGUUUCAAUAGCCAUAAAGGCUAUGCAUAAUUUUUAGUUGUUGCAGGCUAGUCAUGUGGGCGAUAUUGACAACCCAUUUUAUAUUUUUUAUUUGCAACAUUGUACUACUUUGAAUGCAUCCUAUGAUAUCACGAGGUACAAAUUGUUCAAGUGCAGUAAUAGUAGGUUUUGUUGUAUGUGAGGUUAAUCAAGGUAGUUUGGUUAUGUGGGUUGUCUUAUUGACGUCCAAUUACUCCUGUUGAGCAUAAUAUCAUGUUAUUAUUUUAGUAUUGAAAGUAAUAUUUAUGAAGCUUUUGCAUGAGUCUAUGUCAAGAAGUACAUUAGUUUUCUUGUUGUUAUCCCUCCAUUGCUUUAUGAGUGUUGCAAAUUUUAUCUCUUUUGAGAGGAGAAAAAGACGUUAUAUGACAUGAGCACCAUUUGCUUCACAUCAACAGAAUAGUUGCGGAGAUCUCUAGUAGUUGAAUUCUGGUGUAAUAACAACCAUGGUUUAUAGUGCUAGAGACGAGUAUGUCAGGUGUUUCGUACAUUGUCGCUACAUGGAUGUUUGACCUUAGUGGCAUUAACAAACGAGGUUGUUGAAUUCGUUAAUUGUUAUGCUUAGUGUUCUAACCUAUUAGGUAAAGUGUUGUUUAAAGACUUUGGGGAGUUGCAUCCCCAUUUGGUAGUGGGAAACCCUAGUGUUGAUUGCACCUGCCAAUGCCUUGGGUUUCAUUUUAUAUUGUUUUUUUAUUGUGGUUAAGGUGUUGCUUGGUUUUGGGAGUCAUUUUAAAUUAGUUGGAGGCUGAAUCAGGCUUCACUUAUCUAGAAUGUUUUGUAGUAGGUUUCUUCAUGUUUGCAUAUGAUGCUUAAUCAUCCAGUUUGGUCUAAACAUUUGAGAGUUAUGGGUUUCCUAUAGCAGCCUUAAUUUUGUACGGAAGAAUAGACCUUGAAGAUGGUAUAAUUUGGCCUUUGUUAGAUUAUGAAAGUUUUAGUAAUUUCAUGAUCUUUCCAAAGAGUAUUGGUUUGUAAUUUUCAUUGUAUAUAAUUGGAGUUAGGCUGCUCUGAAGUUGUUGCACCGUUGUGUCUGAACUUUAGGUGUCGUUAUAACCACCAAUAAAUCGACCGUGUUUUGAUAGUUUCAUAGCCCAAAUUUGGGAAUUCUCUUUAAGCAAAACUUUAGUUCUUCUCAGUACCUUUUAAAUGGGUAUUUACUUGUAAUUGUCUGUUAAAUAGAUUGGGAGAGGUGGUUGUCCGGUUAUAAGUCGAAUCUCCAAUGUGCAGUAUCUCGGGCUGAGUUUAGCUGUAGGUCAUGUAGAGUUGAUGGCUAUAAAGAUAAAUUUGGGUGCAACUUUAUUGCAAAAGUCAUGGACAAUUUUCAAACUUUUCCAACGCGUGUUCGUUGUAGUUUUAAGUUGAGUAUAGGAGGAGUUAUAGGUUUUUGAAUUUUAGUUGUCCAUUGUUUCCAUCCUAUCAGUUUUGCAACAAAAGAGUUACAUUAUUUUAUCGGUUUGAAAACCAAUUUCGAGACACUCAUUAUAAUAAAAGUUUUACAGAAUGUUAUAAUCUUUUCAAUGGGUUUAUAUUUGCAAAAUUUUGUUAAGCUGCAGGGAGUUAUGAUAUUUUGAAUUUAUGUGUCAUGUUUCGUCAGUUUCUGGUGGCAGAUCAUGUAUGUCGCCUUACAAGUCAAAUUAAAAAUGGUAGAUGGAAAAAAAUGUUUAUCUUUUGAAUACGAAAGUUGUAGAUCAUGAAGUUUAGAUGAUUUUACAAUAUUUCAUUGUUACCAUUGCUUUUAUAGUGAGAGGUAGAAAAAAUGAACAUUUGUGCUUUUGAUUGUCAAUUUUCUACUUAGUGAUUUUUUUCAUGGGAGUUUGGUUUAGGUGUGGUGAGCUCUUUCGCAAUCCAUGUUAAUUAAGUUGUAUGGUGGGAGGGAAUAGACGUAGUGGUUGGGAUGGUUAUCUUGUUUAUGUAUAUGUGGAGCGUGGGCUGGAACACAGAGAUAGCAAGGAACGUUUGAAUAGGCCAGUACGUAUUGUUGUGAAGCCACAUUUUCUUGUAUUGGCGUGAUUGCGUAAGUAUGAAAUAGUUACGUCAUGUGAAGUCUAGGUUGAGAUGCAAUUUGUCUGAGUUAUUCGAUAGAUAUAUGUAUAGUAUAAUUAAAAAAAGAGAGUUCCUAUAUGGGAUGAUAUAAUGUAUAGAAUGUGCUUGGAUGAAUAUGUGGGCAGGCCUAACAUGCUUAAACAGAUUCCUGUUUGCAUGAUGUGAGAUUAGGCUUAAAUGGUUUAAAAAGUUAUCAUAUUGUUUCUAUACUUAUAUUUGUUCUAAGUAUCUCGUAAUGAAGAACCUAAAGUUAUUAGUCUUUCGAUGAACGCUUAAUCUUAGAAGAGUAAUGAACCUGAAUAAAAUCUAUUGCUUGUUGUUGGGUCUGCAUGACCAGUUUUAGUUAUGCAGCUAGUUCAAUGAAGUAAACCAUCUUUUCUGUAGAGAUGUUAUAUAUAAAAGUUGUAGCCGACUUCUUUAUCUUACUUGUGUAAAAAAUUCAUGACCAUAGGUCUAGUAGUUUGGGAGUUAUGAUUUUCUCAAGUCCAGUCUUGGAAUCUGUGCAGAUUCUGUACAGAUUUCGAAACUGACCUUGUUUGCCCAAUUUAAACUUCGAAUAACUUAUUAUAAAUUAUAAAGAAGUUGUAGUACCUUUCUUAAUCUUUUCAACAAACUUUGGAUCACCCUUUUUGGAGAUCUAUAAGUAAAGUUACGGCUGUUUUAAGUGUGAUCUCUGAAUCUGUCUAAAUUUGGACAGCAGAGCCUUUCUCAUGUCUUUUGACCUUGAUAUGCAUUGAAUUAACCUGAUAUGUUUAUAAAUGAAUUAUAGACAAUUAUACUAGCUUUCUAAAAAGUCUAGGAGCACCUGAAUUGGAUGUCUGAGACUUCAAUUAUGAAUUUUUGAAUUGAGUAGUUGAAUUCUGUCCAAGUCUGGACAGAAUUUACGUUUAGCAUUGUUUGACCUUUCUAAGUGUCAAAUCUUGCUGUGAAGAUAAUACCAAGGGUAUAGUGGACUUUAUAAGCUUUCCAUAAAGUCCUAGUUUAUUAUGUUUGGAUGCUUAUUUUAUGAGUUAUGAACAAAACAAUUAACCAUUGUGCUGCUAUCCAAAAAUAUGCAAGCAUUAAGUUACUCUCUUGAAGUUGCUCUUGUUUGGCUAAGUUUGGUUUAGGCUAUAGGAAUACUAUAUGCAGUGCAUUCAUAUAUACAUUCCUUGAAGUACUUGCAUAUGUCAAUGAUUGAUUUGGUGUCAGGAAAACUUUGUUUGAGGUAUAUAGGACCGUCUACUAUCUUAGCCGAGUUGGCAGCUGGGCUUAGCAUAUGCAAUUGUCGAAAUCUAUGAUCAGAGUACACCAUGUAUUCCAUGUCUUUAUGUGGAGGAGGUAUUUGCGGAAUCCAGACCAUCAAAUCGAGCUAGAGCCGAUUCCUGUGUAGCAAGACCAGACUCUAGAGUGUCGUCUGCUGCGUAUCUAAGAAUCCUAGGAGCUUGAGGAGCUGAUGCGGUAGAAGUACCCGAACUUUUCUUUAUGUGUGAGUUUUGUUGGUUCAUUAAUCUUUCCUUUGUCGUUCCGAUAGAAGCAUCGGAAUUCGAGGUCAAAUUCUUUAUAAGGGGGAUAGAGUGUGAUACCCAAUUUUCAAAAAGAAGAGAAAUUGAAGUUUACUCUUUUUUUUCUUUUCUUUGUUUUCUCUUGCGGGUCCCGUGCUAUGGGAGGUUUGGAAUUUUAGGAGGUAAACAUCUGUAAAACAGUAAAAUUUAUGUUUGAUGUGUGCGCGGGGGUCGAGAGCUCUGGCGUAGGAAUGGUUUUGGGCCGUUGAUCGCGAUCCGGCGGUGGGAAGCCCACUUUUCCCCCCAAAACCCUAGCCGCCCCCUCUCUUAAGGCCCCUUGUGGGCAGCCGCCCCCCCCUUCCCUCCUUUGGCCGUCACCCUCCCCCCUCUUCCCUCUUCUCUCUUCCCCAAGUGCUGCAGCCGCCCCCUCUCCAUUCUCAAGUUUUUUGCAGCAGCCAUCUCCUCAACCAUAGCCGCCACCCCCCAUCUCCUCUUCUCCAAGUGUCGUUCUUCCUCGUCGGAUCUUCUUCGUGUGGGUGCAAGUUUCAAUUGGAGAAUUGGUGGGAGGAAGGAAGGAGGAAAAAGGUGGAACUCAAGGUGAUCUUGAAGUUAUCUAUGUUUUUGCGCUAAAAUUCAAUUGAUUAUAUGUUUAUCUAUGCGAAUCGGUAGAGGUGCUGUCCAGAAUUUUUGUGGGAGGGCGAACAACAGUAGUUCUAGGGAUUUCUGGGAAUUUUUCGUGGGCAAUUAGUGGGGAUCAGUGGGAGAAUCAUGUAUAGCUUUGUCAUACCUUUCCAACGAGUACUUAUGCGCUCGAUUCGGAGUUAUAAUUUAGGAGAUAUCGUUGUUUAAAUCCGGUUAUGUUGUUGUCCAAAAAAAACAGAUUUUUCAGGUGGGUGAACAGCAGUAGUAUUAGCAGUUUCUGGGAAAUUUUCGUGGGUAAUUAGUGUUAACCAGUAUUAUAAUCAUGUAGGGCUUUGUCUUAUCUUUCC